Small nucleolar RNA from Dendrobium catenatum, 106 nucleotides. The record is from RefSeq and is a predicted model, not a curated record. Lineage: Eukaryota; Viridiplantae; Streptophyta; Magnoliopsida; Asparagales; Orchidaceae.
AAGCAUGGUGAGGAUAUUUUUUUAGCAUUGCCUUAAAUCUCUCUCAACUUUCAUAAAUUUUCUCUCCUUUAAAUUUGAAAAAUGAUGUGAUGUCAUCUCUAAGCUU